CAAGUCGAACGCGAAAGUUCCUUUCGGGGAGCGAGUAGAGUGGCGCACGGGUGAGUAACACGUAGGUAAUCUACCUUUGGAUUGGGAAUAACCACCGGAAACGGUGGCUAAUACCGAAUAAUGCAGCGGCACCUAUGGUGACAGUUGUUAAAGCGGGGGAUCGCAAGACCUCGCGUCUAAAGAGGAGCCUGCGGCGGAUUAGCUAGUUGGUAAGGUAACGGCUUACCAAGGCGAUGAUCCGUAGCCGGCCUGAGAGGGCGGUCGGCCACACUGACACUGACAUACGGGUCAGACUCCUACGGGAGGCAGCAGUCGGGAAUUUUGGGCAAUGGGCGAAAGCCUGACCCGGCAACGCCGCGUGAAGGAUGAAAUCCCUCGGGAUGUAAACUUCGCAAGAACGGGAAGAAUAAGUCGGUGCCAACACCAUCGACGAUGACGGUACUGUUUGUAAGCUCCGGCUAACUCCGUGCCAGCAGCCGCGGUAAUACGGGGGGAGCAAGCGUUGUUCGGAUUUACUGGGCGUAAAGGGCGUGUAGGCGGCCACCGCAAGUCGACUGUGAAAUCUCCGGGCUUAACUCGGAAAGGUCAGCCGAUACUGCGGGGCUAGAGUGCAGAAGGGGCAACUGGAAUUCUCGGUGUAGCGGUGAAAUGCGUAGAUAUCGAGAGGAACACCUGCGGCGAAGGCGGGUUGCUGGGCUGACACUGACGCUGAAACGCGAAAGCUAGGGGAGCGAACGGGAUUAGAUACCCCGGUAGUCCUAGCCUUAAACGAUGAAUGCUUGGUGUCUGGGGUUUUAUAGUCCCCGGGUGCCGUCGCUAACGCUUUAAGCAUUCCGCCUGGGGAGUACGGUCGCAAGACUGAAACUCAAAGGAAUUGACGGGG
Molecule: ribosomal RNA, 883 nt
Filed under: uncultured Bacillota bacterium
Lineage: Bacteria; Bacillati; Bacillota
Description: bacterial SSU rRNA
Rfam family: Bacterial small subunit ribosomal RNA
Source: RNAcentral